Molecule: long non-coding RNA, 258 nt
Filed under: Elaeis guineensis (African oil palm)
Lineage: Eukaryota; Viridiplantae; Streptophyta; Magnoliopsida; Arecales; Arecaceae
Description: long non-coding RNA (EGUI_LNC037011)
Source: RNAcentral
UGACCCCAUAGAUUCUAUUCUAUCUGAUAGUGAAGAAUAUUGUGAUCCCUAUCAUAAUAUUAUUGAAACUCUUUUCAAUGGAUUGGAACCAUUGUAACUCUACUCAUCAAAGACCAUCAAUCAUCAAGAUGAUGUUUAUGAGCCCCAUAAUCCCUUAGUGACCUUAGUAAUAUGUAGUGGCAAUCUAGCAAAAUAAAAGUGAUGAAUCUCUAGGUAUAGUUACCGUAUGAUACAGCCCCUCUAUCAUGAGUCUUGACU